AGGAAUUCAGUGCCCAGUGGGCCUCCCUCGCCCCGAGUGUCUGGUGGACUGUGGGCACCAGUGAUGCUGUAGUCCACCAUCAGCUCCACAGUCAUGUGUCCAGGUUGGAGCCUCACUAGCCGUAGCCAUAGGCACAGGCUGUUUAUUGGCUUUGUGCUUGAGUUUCUUCAGGCAUGAAUGGUGGUAAUAAGUCAGAGAAUUGUCUCAAGGAUGGAAAAUGGAUGCGAAGGCAGCGCAAUCUCGAUGCAGAUGCAUCUGACUGGAGAUGUCCCGAGCCUUCUGGAUUUUUCAACUCUUCUGAGACCAAAAGAAGACUAAAUCAAAGAAGAACUCUGACCUUGGCGCUUGAAGAGGGAAAGCGGGAACAAGUAUAAAAUGUUCCUCCUGUCUCACGACUCUGUCAGGGUCUUGGGAAAAUGAACCUGUGGAAGACAAUGGGAAAUCCUAGCAAAUGAGGCAAAAGGUUCCUGAGUUUGGGGGAGAACACUGCCUACCACUGGCCCCGUUAGAGGGAGGUUCCCGCCAAGCCCGCUGUUCCUGCUGGGACCUGUUCAAGGACAGCAAACAUGGUUUCCAGGACUGGAAAGGUCUGAAAAACAGAUUUGUUCCAGCAGUGGACAGGAGUUGGACAGCAGGUGUCACUUUAUGGACAGGGAGGAGGUGGGCUCUCCCACCCACCACAUUCCCUGGUACUUCCUUCUGACACUUGCUGUCUUCUGCUGAGUCACGGAAUAUCUGCACCUGCUGUCUCUGGAGCAGAGUGAAGAAAGAACGGCUGGAUAGAGCACCUAAUGAUGACAGAACACAGACAAGGAAGGAAGGCCCCGCACAGGUUAUAGAGGCCGGUAGUAAGCCACACUCAAAGUUUCUCUGUACAGAUGGUGGGCCCAGCUGCAUGUUUCGGAAACCAGACGAGUGGCCCAUGCUUGCGGCUGUCAGAAGAGUAGAUGGGAGGUGUGAUUAUUGUCCAGGCCACUUCUGUCUUUCAUAGGACAGGUGAUGUGGCGAGGAUGGUGGGAGGACCUGAAGGAGAAGACAGCUUAGAUAAUUGCUGAGCAUCUUCAGCUCUUUGCAGAAGAGUUUAGAGUCCUGCUGAAAUCCGAAGCAUUGGAUUCUAGCCAUGAGCCAGCAA
Molecule: long non-coding RNA, 1132 nt
Filed under: Fukomys damarensis (Damara mole-rat)
Lineage: Eukaryota; Metazoa; Chordata; Mammalia; Rodentia; Bathyergidae
Description: lncRNA (ENSFDAG00000027444.1)
Source: RNAcentral